RNAcentral lists this ribosomal RNA (484 nucleotides) under uncultured bacterium. RNAcentral's name for it is "partial 16S ribosomal RNA". It matches the Rfam family "Bacterial small subunit ribosomal RNA", at positions 30 to 507 of the family's 1533-position model. The record is from RNAcentral.
AUUGAACGCUGGCGGCAGGCCUAACACAUGCAAGUCGAGCGGAUGAAGGGAGCUUGCUCCUGGAUUCAGCGGCGGACGGGUGAGUAAUGCCUAUGAAUCUGCCUGGUAGUGGGGGAUAACGUCCGGAAACGGGCGCUAAUACCGCAUACGACCUGAGGGAGAAAGUGGGGGAUCUUCGGACCUCUUGCUAUCAGAUGAGCCUAGGUCGGAUUAGCUAGUUGGUGGGGUAAAGGCCUACCAAGGCGGCGAUCCGUAACUGGUCUGACAGGAUGGUCAGUCACACUGGAACUGAGACACGGUCCAGACUCCUACGGGAGGCAGCAGUGGGGAAUAUUGGACAAUGGACGAGAGCCUGAUACAGCCAUGCCGCGUGUGUGAAGAAGGUCUUCGGAUUGUAAAGCACUUUAAGUUGGGAGGAAGGGCAGUAAGUUAAUACCUUGCUGUUUUGACGUUACCAGCAGAAUAAGCACCGGCUAACUUCGUG